UCCUACGGGGGGCAGCAGUGGGGAAUUUUCCGCAAUGGGCGCAAGCCUGACGGAGCAACGCCGCGUGAGGGAGGAAGGCCUGUGGGUCGUAAACCUCUUUUCUUAGGGAAGAAGAUUUGACGGUACCUGAGGAAUCAGCAUCGGCUAACUCCGUGCCAGCAGCCGCGGUAAGACGGAGGAUGCAAGCGUUAUCCGGAAUUAUUGGGCGUAAAGCGUCCGUAGGUGGUUUAUCAAGUCUGUUGUUAAAGCUCACAGCUCAACUGUGAAUCGGCAAUGGAAACUGAAAGACUAGAGUGUGGUAGGGGUAGAGGGAAUUCCUAGUGUAGCGGUGAAAUGCGUAGAUAUUAGGAAGAACACCAGUGGCGAAGGCGCUCUACUGGGCCAUAACUGACACUGAUGGACGAAAGCUAGGGGAGCGAAAGGGAUUAGAUACCCCUGUAGUCCUAGCUGUAAACGAUGGACACUAGGUGUUGGCCGUAUCGACCCGGUCAGUAUCGAAGCAAACGCGUUAAGUGUCCCGCCUGGGGAGUACGCACGCAAGUGUGAAACUCAAAUGAAUUGACGG
This 565-nucleotide ribosomal RNA is filed under the name uncultured cyanobacterium. RNAcentral's name for it is "bacterial SSU rRNA". It matches the Rfam family "Bacterial small subunit ribosomal RNA", at positions 337 to 916 of the family's 1533-position model. The record is from RNAcentral. Lineage: Bacteria; Bacillati; Cyanobacteriota.